AGCAGCCGCGGUAAUUCCAGCUCCAAUAGCGUAUAUUAAAGUUGUUGCAGUUAAAAAGCUCGUAGUUGAAUUUCGGGAUUGGCGCAUCGGUCGUGCCUCACGGGGUAUGAACUGGUGCAGUCAAUUUCUCACCUUCUGGAGAACCGCGAUGUCCUUAAUUGGGUGCCGCGGGGAACCAGGACCUUUACUUUGAAAAAUUGAGUGUUUAAAGCAGGCAUUUUUGCUUGAAUACAUUAGCAUGGAAUAAUAAAAUAGGACGGCAUGGUUCUAUUUUGUUGGUUUCUAGGACCACCGUAAUGAUUAAUAGGGAUAGUUGGGGGCAUUAGUAUUCAAUUGUCAGAGGUGAAAUUCUUGGAUUUAUUGAAGACUAACUACUGCGAAAGCAGUUGCCAAGGAUGUUUUCAUUAAUCAAGAACGAAAGUUAGGGGAUCGAAGACGAUCAGAUACCGUCGUAGUCUUAACCAUAAACUAUGCCGACUAGGAAUCAGACGAUGUUAAUUUUUAAUGUACUCGUUUGGCU
This 520-nucleotide ribosomal RNA is filed under the name uncultured Glomeromycotina. RNAcentral's name for it is "SSU rRNA". It matches the Rfam family "Eukaryotic small subunit ribosomal RNA", at positions 569 to 1085 of the family's 1831-position model. The record is from RNAcentral. Lineage: Eukaryota; Fungi; Glomeromycota.